CGAACGGGGUUUAUAUGACGGAACUCUCCGGAGGGAAGAUAUAUAAACCUAGUGGCGGACGGGUGAGUAACGCGUGGGCAACCUGCCCUGUACCGGGGGACAACAGCCAGAAAUGGCUGCUAAUACCGCAUAAGCCUGCUGUGCCGCAUGGCACAGCAGGGAAAACCACGGUGGUACAGGAUGGGCCCGCGUCUGAUUAGUUAGUUGGCAGGGUAACGGCCUACCAAGACAACGAUCAGUAGCCGGCUUGAGAGAGUGGACGGCCACAUUGGGACUGAGACACGGCCCAUACUCCUGCGGGAGGCAGCAGUGGGGAAUAUUGCACAAUGGGGGGAACCCUGAUGCCGCAAUGCCGCGUGGGUGAAGAAGCACUCCCGGUGCCUAAAGCCCUGUCAGCUGGGAGGAAAAUGAAAAAAAAACGACUUUAAGCCCCCGGCUAACUGCGUGCCAACAGCCGCGGUAAUACGUAGGGGGCAAGCGUUAUCCGGAUUUACUGGGUGUAAAGGGAGCGCAGGCGGCGUGGCAAGUCAGAUGUGAAAACCCGGGGCCCAACCCCGGGAGUGCAUUUGAAACUGCCAUGAUGGAGUGCUGGAGAGGUAA
This 600-nucleotide ribosomal RNA is filed under the name uncultured bacterium. Its description in RNAcentral is "bacterial SSU rRNA". It matches the Rfam family "Bacterial small subunit ribosomal RNA", at positions 63 to 660 of the family's 1533-position model. The record is from RNAcentral.